Molecule: ribosomal RNA, 237 nt
Filed under: uncultured bacterium
Lineage: Bacteria
Description: partial 16S ribosomal RNA
Rfam family: Bacterial small subunit ribosomal RNA
Source: RNAcentral
CGAACGGGUGAGUAACGCGUGAGUAGCCUGCCCUAGAGUGGGGGACAACAGUUGGAAACGACUGCUAAUACCGCAUAAGCCCACGGAUCCGCAUGGAUCUGCGGGAAAAGGAUUUAUUCGCUUUAGGAUGGACUCGCGUCCAAUUAGCUAGUUGGUGAGGUAACGGCCCACCAAGGCGACGAUUGGUAGCCGGACUGAGAGGUUGAACGGCCACAUUGGGACUGAGACACGGCCCAG